GAUGAACGCUAGCGGCAGGCCUAAUACAUGCAAGUCGAACGGUAACAUGAGUAGCAAUACUUGAUGACGAGUGGCGCACGGGUGCGUAACGCGUAUGCAAUCUACCUUUAACUGGUGAAUAGCCCGAAGAAAUUCGGAUUAAUACACCAUAGUAUAUUGAGGAGGCAUCUCCUUAAUAUUAAAACUCCGGUGGUUAAAGAUGAGCAUGCGUGACAUUAGCUAGUUGGUGAGGUAACGGCUCACCAAGGCAACGAUGUCUAGGGGAUCUGAGAGGAUUAGCCCCCACACUGGUACUGGGACAGGGACCAGACUCCUACGGGGGGCAGCAGUAAGGAAUAUUGGACAAUGGUCGCAAGACUGAUCCAGCCAUGCCGCGUGAAGAAUGACGGCCCUAUGGGUUGUAAACUUCUUUUGUACGGGAAAAAACCCUUCUACGUGUAGAGGGCUGAUUGUACCGUAAGAAUAAGUAUCGGCUAACUCCGUGCCAGCCGCCGCGGUAA
RNAcentral lists this ribosomal RNA (500 nucleotides) under uncultured bacterium. RNAcentral's name for it is "partial 16S ribosomal RNA". It matches the Rfam family "Bacterial small subunit ribosomal RNA", at positions 28 to 523 of the family's 1533-position model. The record is from RNAcentral.